ACUCUGGUAUUGAUUGGUGCUUGCAUCAUGAUUUACAUUUGAGUGAGUGGCGAACUGGUGAGUAACACGUGGGAAACCUGCCCAGAAGCGGGGGAUAACACCUGGAAACAGAUGCUAAUACCGCAUAACAACUUGGACCGCAUGGUCCGAGCUUGAAAGAUGGCUUCGGCUAUCACUUUUGGAUGGUCCCGCGGCGUAUUAGCUAGAUGGUGGGGUAACGGCUCACCAUGGCAAUGAUACGUAGCCGACCUGAGAGGGUAAUCGGCCACAUUGGGACUGAGACACGGCCCAAACUCCUACGGGAGGCAGCAGUAGGGAAUCUUCCACAAUGGACGAAAGUCUGAUGGAGCAACGCCGCGUGAGUGAAGAAGGGUUUCGGCUCGUAAAACUCUGUUGUUAAAGAAGAACAUAUCUGAGAGUAACUGUUCAGGUAUUGACGGUAUUUAACCAGAAAGCCACGGCUAACUACGUGCCAGCAGCCGCGGUAAUACGUAGGUGGCAAGCGUUGUCCGGAUUUAUUGGGCGUAAAGCGAGCGCAGGCGGUUUUUUAAGUCUGAUGUGAAAGCCUUCGGCUCAACCGAAGAAGUGCAUCGGAAACUGGGAAACUUGAGUGCAGAAGAGGACAGUGGAACUCCAUGUGUAGCGGUGAAAUGCGUAGAUAUAUGGAAGAACACCAGUGGCGAAGGCGGCUGUCUGGUCUGUAACUGACGCUGAGGCUCGAAAGUAUGGGUAGCAAACAGGAUUAGAUACCCUGGUAGUCCAUACCGUAAACGAUGAAUGCUAAGUGUUGGAGGGUUUCCGCCCUUCAGUGCUGCAGCUAACGCAUUAAGCAUUCCGCCUGGGGAGUACGGCCGCAAGGCUGAAACUCAAAGGAAUUGACGGGGGCCCGCACAAGCGGUGGAGCAUGUGGUUUAAUUCGAAGCUACGCGAAGAACCUUACCAGGUCUUGACAUACUAUGCAAAUCUAAGAGAUUAGACGUUCCCUUCGGGGACAUGGAUACAGGUGGUGCAUGGUUGUCGUCAGCUCGUGUCGUGAGAUGUUGGGUUAAGUCCCGCAACGAGCGCAACCCUUAUUAUCAGUUGCCAGCAUUAAGUUGGGCACUCUGGUGAGACUGCCGGUGACAAACCGGAGGAAGGUGGGGAUGACGUCAAAUCAUCAUGCCCCUUAUGACCUGGGCUACACACGUGCUACAAUGGAUGGUACAACGAGUUGCGAACUCGCGAGAGUAAGCUAAUCUCUUAAAGCCAUUCUCAGUUCGGAUUGUAGGCUGCAACUCGCCUACAUGAAGUCGGAAUCGCUAGUAAUCGCGGAUCAGCAUGCCGCGGUGAAUACGUUCCCGGGCCUUGUACACACCGCCCGUCACACCAUGAGAGUUUGUAACACCCAAAGUCGGUGGG
Molecule: ribosomal RNA, 1398 nt
Filed under: Lactiplantibacillus plantarum
Lineage: Bacteria; Bacillati; Bacillota; Bacilli; Lactobacillales; Lactobacillaceae
Description: bacterial SSU rRNA
Rfam family: Bacterial small subunit ribosomal RNA
Source: RNAcentral